RNAcentral lists this ribosomal RNA (494 nucleotides) under uncultured bacterium. Its description in RNAcentral is "bacterial SSU rRNA". It matches the Rfam family "Bacterial small subunit ribosomal RNA", at positions 15 to 507 of the family's 1533-position model. The record is from RNAcentral.
GAUCCUGGCUCAGGUACGAACGGCUGGCGGCGUGCCUAACACAUGGCAAGUCGAGCGGGAAGCUUGGUAAUGAGACUUCGGUUGAUUUACUAAGUGGAGAGCGGCGGACGGGUGAGUAACGCGUGAGUAACCUGCCUUACAGAGGGGGAUAACACAGAGAAAUUUGUGCUAAUACCGCAUGAAAUAGCAAUAUCGCAUGAUAUAACUAUCAAAGAUUUAUCGCUGUAAGAUGGACUCGCGUCUGAUUAGCUAGUAGGUAGGGUAACGGCCUACCUAGGCGACGAUCAGUAGCCGAACUGAGAGGUUGAUCGGCCACAUUGGGACUGAGACACGGCCCAGACUCCUACGGGAGGCAGCAGUGGGGAAUAUUGCGCAAUGGGGGGAACCCUGACGCAGCAACGCCGCGUGAAGGAAGAAGGUCUUCGGAUUGUAAACUUCUGUCCUAAAGGAAGAUAAUGACGGUACUUUAGGAGGAAGCCACGGCUAACUACGUG